GUUUGGACGACUUCAGAAUAUCGAAUUUUUCACCAGGCCCGGUCGUCCUGCCAAAUUUCCUGAGUUUUCGCCAGUGGGAAGUGGGCCAUUUUCCAGUUUAAAGCGGAGGAAAAAUAAUAACUAGGGCCCCGGUGGGGCACUGUCGGGCCCGAGCCACGUCGCGCCGCCCCCAGCGCGACCGCCUCCCCCUCCCAAUCGCGUCACACUCAAGGUCCAAAGAUGGUGUGCGCACUUGUCUGUGGUCAUUUCCCAUUAUAAUGAAUGGGAGGCGCAGUUUCUACCAAAACGGUCGCUGCAGACAAACUACAUGUCCUAUUUGAAAAAAGUCUGGACCAUGAGUGAUGGCACAAACACAGCUAGGAUAUAUCCAAAUGGCAAGUUGCUCCUCCUUACGGUGUUGCUGGGAGAGCGAUGCGAUUGAGCCAUUGACCGAUGGGCAGGGUUAACUUGACUUUUUCUCCUGCCUUGGGGGUGGGGGGGGGGGGGGGCGAUGUGGAUUCUUUUAAAAAUGUGGAUAUUUGGGUCCUCUUUGGCGCCCCCUAGAACGUAAACCGUGGGGUGCAGCGUCAUGAUUUUUACAACUUUGAAUGGCCAUGGAGUUUAGAUUGGCCUGAGCAAAUUUGGUGUCAGUGGGACGAAAGCCUUAGGAGGAGUUAGCCACAUUCCAAUGUGUGCGAAACGGCAAAAAAUGCGAAAUAGCCCUUUAACCGUACAUUUUACUGAUACGCGCGCAUUGACUCUUUCGUAGAUCUUAUUGAGAUACACGUGAUUGUCAAAUUUUGUGUCAAUAUGACGAAGCGUACAGGCGUGACAUUCAACAAUGUGUAUUUUCGCCUUAGGGGACUAGAAAAAAUUGACUUUUUUCUCCUGCCAUGGGGGGGCGCUCUUUUGGCGAGUAAAAAUUCCUUCACAAAUGUGUUGAUGGCUGGACAUUGCAUCAUCCUAGAAAACUUGGAGGCCAGUGAGGACAAAAAUAAAAAGUUAUAAGACUUUUAAGAAUGUGGAUUUUUGGGUUAUUUUUGGCGCCCCCUAGAACGUAAACCGUGGGGUGCAGCAUCAUGAUUUGUACAACUUUUAAUGGCCAUGGGGUGUAGAUUGGCCUGAGCAAAUUUGGUGCCGGUGGAACGAAAGCCUUCGGAGGAGUUAGCGAAAUUCCAAUGUGUGCGGAUCGGCAAAAAAUGCGAAAUAGCCCUUUAACCGUACAUUUGACAGAUACGCCCGCACUGACUUUUUUGUAGAUCUUAUUGAGAUACACAUGUGUGUCAAAUUUUGUGUCAUUUUGACAAAGGGUACAGGCGUCAGGUGAGUUUUCACCAUAGGGGGCGCUAUGGAGCCAUUUUUCAUUUUUUUGUUUGGGCGACUUCAGAAUAUCAAAUUUUUCACCAGGCCCGGUCGUCCUGCCAAAUUUCCUGAGUUUUCGCCAGUGGGAAGUGGGCCAUUUUCCAGUUUAAAGCGGAGGAAAAAUAACGAAAGAAGAAUCCAUCAGGAACAAGAGGGCUCUCGCAGCUGCUUAGCAGCUACGCUCGGGCCCUAAUAAUAACAAAAGAAGAAUCCAUCAGGAACAAGAGGGCUCUCGCAGCUGCUUAGCAGCUACGCUCGGGCCCUAAAGAAGAAAGAAGAAUCCAUCAGGAACAAUAGGGCUCUCGCAGCUGCUUAGCAGCUACGCUCGGGCCCUAAGAAGAAUCCAUCAGGAACAAGAGGGCUCUCGCAACUGCUUAGCAGCUACGCUCGGGCCCUAAAGAAAGAAAGAAAGAAAGAACUAGGGCCCCGGUGGGGCACUGGCGGGCCCGAGCCGUGUCGCGCCGCCCCCAGCGCGACCGCCUACCCCUCCCGAUCGCGUCACACUCAAGGUCCAAAGAUGGUGUGCGCACUUGUCUGUGGUCAUUGACCAUUAUAAUGAAUGAAAGGCGCAGUUUCUACCAAAACGCUCGCUGCAGACAAACUCCAUGUCCUUUUUGGAAAAAGUCUGGACCAUGAGUGAGGGCACAAACACAGCAAGUAUAUAUCCAAAUGGCAAGUUGCUCCUCCUUUCGGUUUUGCCGAGAGAGCGAUCCGUUUGAGCCAUUGAGCGAUGGGCAGGAAAAACUUGACUUUUUCUCCUGCCAUGGGAGGGCGCUCUUUUGGGGAGAAAAAAUUCCUUCACAAAUGUGUUGAUGGCGUGACAUUGCAUCAUCCUAGAAAACUUGGAGGCCAGUGAGGACAAAAAUAAAAAGUUAUAAGACUUUUAAAUAUGUGGAUAUUUGGGUCCUCUUUGGCGCCCCCUAGAACGUAGACCGUGGGGUGCAGCGGCAUGAUUUUUACAACUUUGAAUGGCCAUGGGGUGUAGAUUGGCCUGAGCAAAUUUGGUGUCAGUGGGACGAAAGCCUUAGGAGGAGUUAGCCACAUUCCAAUGUGUGCGAAUCGGCAAAAAAUGAAAAAUAGCCGUUUAGCCGUACAUUUUACAGAUACGCGCGCAUUCACUUUUUCGUAGAUCUUAUUGAGAUACACGUGUGUGUCAAAUUUUUUGUCAAUAUGACAAAGCGUACAGGCGUGACAUUCAACAAUGUGUAUUUUCGCCUUAGGGGACAAGAAAAAAUUGACUUUUUUGUCCUGCCAUGGGGGGGCGCUCUUUUGGGGAGUAAAAAUUCCUUCACAAAUGUGUUGAUGGCUGGACAUUGCAUCAUCCUAGAAAACUUGGAGGCCAGUGAGGACAAAAAUAAAAAGUUAUAAAACUUUUAAGAAUGUGGAUUUUUGGGUUAUUUUUGGCGCCCCCUAGAACGUAAACCGUGGGAUGCAGCGUCAUGAUUUGUACAACUUUGAAUUGCCAUGGGGUGUAGAUUGGCCUGAGCAAAUUUGGUGUCAGUGGAACGAAAGCCUUAGGAGGAGUUAGCGAAAUUCCAAUGUGUGCGAAUCUGGCAAAAAAUGCGAAAUAGCCCUUUAACUGUACAUUUUACAGAUACGCGCACAUUGACUUUUUCGUAGAUCUUAUUGAGAUACACAUGAUUGUCAAAUUUUGUGUCAAUAUGACAAAGCGUACAGGCGUGACACUCAACAAUGUGUAUAUUCGCCUUUGGGGACAAGAAAAAAUGGACUUUUUUUUCUCCUGCCAUGGGGGGGCGCUCUUUUGGCGAGUAAAAAUUCCUUCACAAAUGUGUUAAUUGCUGGACAUUGCAUCAUCCUAGAGAACUUGGAGGCCAGUGAGGACAAAAAUAAAAAGUUAUAAGACUUUUAAGACUGUGGAUUUUUGGGUUAUCUUUGGCGCCCCCUAGAACGUAAACCGUGGGGUGCAGCGUCAUGAUUUGAAUAACUUUUAAUGGCCAUGGGGUGUAGAUUGGCCUGAGCAAAUGUGCUGCCGGUGGAACGAAAGCCUUCGGAGGAGUUAGCGAAAUUCCAAUGUGUGCGGAUCGGCAAAAAAUGCGAAAUAACCCUUUAACCGUACAUUUGACAGACACGCCCGCGCUGACUUUUUUGUAGAUCUUAUUGUGAUACAUGUGUGUGUCAAUUUUUGUGUCAAAAUGACAAAGCGUACAGGCGUGACAGUCAAUAGUGUGAAUUUUCACCUUAGGGGGUGCUAUGGAGCCAUUUUGCAUUUUAUUGUUUGGGCGACUUCAGAAUAUCGAAUU
RNAcentral lists this long non-coding RNA (3602 nucleotides) under Xyrichtys novacula (pearly razorfish). Lineage: Eukaryota; Metazoa; Chordata; Actinopteri; Labriformes; Labridae. The record is from RNAcentral.